RNAcentral lists this ribosomal RNA (590 nucleotides) under uncultured bacterium. Its description in RNAcentral is "bacterial SSU rRNA". It matches the Rfam family "Bacterial small subunit ribosomal RNA", at positions 338 to 918 of the family's 1533-position model. The record is from RNAcentral.
CCUACGGGAGGCAGCAGUGGGGAAUAUUGCACAAUGGAGGAAACUUYUGAUGCAGCAAUGCCGCGUGUGUGAAGGAGGCCUUAGGGUUGUAAAGCACUUUCAAUAGGGAGGAAAAGUUAGUAGUUAAUAACUGCUAGCCGUGACGUUACCUAUAGAAGAAGGACCGGCUAACUCCGUGCCAGCAGCCGCGGUAAUACGGAGGGUCCGAGCGUUAAUCGGAAUUACUGGGCGUAAAGCGCGCGUAGGCGGUUUACUCAGUCAGAUGUGAAAGCCCCGGGCUCAACCUGGGAACUGCAUUUGAUACUGGUAGGCUAGAGUAUGGUAGAGGUGAGUGGAAUUUCAGGUGUAGCGGUGAAAUGCGUAGAGAUCUGAAGGAACAUCAGUGGCGAAGGCGACUCACUGGGCCAUUACUGACGCUKAGGUGCGAAAGCGUGGGUAGCAAACAGGAUUAGAUACCCUGGUAGUCCACGCCCUAAACGAUGUCAACUAGGUGUGUGAGAGUUUAUCUCUUGCGUAUCGAAACUAACGCGAUAAGUUGACCCGCCUGGGGAGUACGGUCGCAAGACUAAAACUCAAAGGAAUUGACGGGG